UCGAACGUCCCCGGGUAAGGGGGCGUGGCGGACGGCUGAGUAACACGUGGCUAACCUACCCUCGGGACGGGGAUAACCCCGGGAAACUGGGGAUAAUCCCCGAUAGGGGAGGAGUCCUGGAACGGUUCCUCCCUGAAAGGGCCAUGGGCUAUUUCCCGCUCAUGGCCGCCCGAGGAUGGGGCUGCGGCCCAUCAGGCUGUUGGCGGGGUAACGGCCCGCCAAACCUAUAACGGGUAGGGGCCGUGGGAGCGGGAGCCCCCAGUUGGGCACUGAGACAAGGGCCCAGGCCCUACGGGGCGCACCAGGCGCGAAACGUCCCCAAUGCGCGAAAGCGUGAGGGCGCUACCCCGAGUGCCCCCGUAAGGGGGCUUUUCCCCGCUCUAAAAAGGCGGGGGAAUAAGCGGGGGGCAACUCUGGUGUCAGCCGCCGCGGUAAUACCAGGCCCGCGAGUGGUCGGGGCGUUUACUUGGCCUAAAGCGCCUGUAGCCGGCCCGCUAAGUCGCCCCUUAAAGCCCCGGGCUCAACCCGGGGAAUGGGGGCGAUACUGGCGGGCUAGGGGGCGGGAGAGGCGGGGGGUACUCCCGGAGUAGGGGCGAAAUCCGUAGAUACCGGGAGGACCACCAGUGGCGGAGGCGCCCCGCUAGAACGCGCCCGACGGUGAGAGGCGAAAGCCGGGGCAG
Molecule: ribosomal RNA, 680 nt
Filed under: uncultured archaeon
Lineage: Archaea
Description: bacterial SSU rRNA
Rfam family: Archaeal small subunit ribosomal RNA
Source: RNAcentral